Molecule: unclassified non-coding RNA, 5662 nt
Filed under: Leishmania donovani
Lineage: Eukaryota; Euglenozoa; Kinetoplastea; Trypanosomatida; Trypanosomatidae
Description: gene:LdHU3.24.0810(CDS-product:protein_kinase_put ative)
Source: RNAcentral
CUUCUCUUACUUCUCCAUAUAGAUUGCAGAAGAGACUUGCAUGCCAUUUCUAUUUAGCUUUUCACCUAGAUUGUAGAUGAAGUCAUCAGGUAUUCUUCAAACCCAUGAACCUGCUAACGUAUUUCCUUUUGAGGUGUGCAACCUCCUUUUGGGGAAAGGUGGAAGUGGCCAGGUAUUCCUAGGUCGCGUAGGCGGCUCCGACAAGUACGUUGCCAUCAAAAAACAGUAUAGCAGGUACAAUUCUAACGGGUCUACGGGGAGCCGCAUGCUCCCGAAAAGCUCAGGGCUUCCGCAGUCAUCGCAGCGGACAAGAAGCCACCUGUCUCAAGACACGCUCGUCUCGUCACUUGGUAGUCAUUUUGUCUGCAGAGGCGAAAGCGGGUUGCAGCAGCUAGAAGCUGGCGACUGUGUUCCUGUGUCUCAGCGAAGGGAACUGGAUCUCGGAGAGGAAAGCGUUUCGCAAACCGCAGCUCUUUCCCAGCAGCAUGAAAACUGCAGCGCAGAAAAUUCUUCUGGCGACGCCACAAGGCAGAGGGUGGUGCCACCAGUGAUGGACGAAGUAUCGGUUUUGAAUUACCUUGGGCCUCAUCCACAGAUUGUUCGGUUUCUGGGCAGCUACACAACGUCGAAGAACACAAGCUUUUUUACCAUGGAGUUGAUGGACAGUGACGUUGGACGGGAGCUGAGAGAAGGGAACGCAACCCUGCACGAGGAGGGCGUGUGUGCUGCCAUUGCGUACUCUGUCUUGCUCGCGCUAGAGGAGAUGCACUCUCACGCUGUAGCGCACCGAGACGUCAAGCCUGGCAAUAUUUUGCUGAAGCGUCUCACAGAACCAGAAGAAUGGGCGUGCAUUUACCUUCCAAGGGAUGACUUCAGGGCACGUCUACUGCCAAAAUCGUCGGCCGUGUCGGCUUUCGAUCCGACACUUUGCACGAGUAAGGAAGCAUCUAGUCACGAGGUUGCGCCGGCCAUCCGAAGCGCAAAUGACAAUGCAUCGUAUGUCAAAGCUGCACUGGGGGAUUUCAGCGCGGCUCACAGUACUCGCUGCGCCGACAACGUGGCCUUUUUCGACACUCGUGGAACACUUCACUACAAAUCCCCGGAGCAACUCAUGGGCAAGCGCAGUGUCGUCUCCGAGAACUUUGCUGCUGUUGACCUGUGGGGGCUAGGCUGCACCCUAUACGAGAUGGUCACCGGCACGCGACCGUUCCCGGGCAGUAGUGAGCUGCAGGUGCUCAUGAGCAUUUUAGAUGCCUUGGGGAGUGACAUUCAGUCGUUCCCGGUGGCGACCAAACACGCCGCACUCUUCGACGAAAUUCCCGCAUCGCCUGCAUUUGUGAACUUAUUGCAGCGCCUCCUCUGUCUCGAUCCGACGCGGCGCUGUACGGCGAAGGAGGCUCUGCGCCACUCGUUUUUAGCCUCCAUUCGCGACAGCGCCUUGCGCUGUGCCGAUGCGGAGCGCCAAAUCUCGACCGAUCGCCUGCCGUAUGUGAUCGGGAUCCCAUUGACGCUCAAGUACGCAUCUUUCACACACAUUCCCGAACUUCGCUUUAGUCGCAUUUCUCGGACCCCGUUGAAAGCAACGGAGUCAACUCCUUCAGAGCUAAGCGCGCCUCAGCAACCUCCUGCGAACGGCUGCCCUGCGCCUCCAUCUGCUUCAGACACUGAAAUCGCUGCCCUCACCGUUGUAGCCGAGCGCGAGGCCGCUGCCGAAACAAGAUCCAAGCAUCGAGACGUGAAUCACUGGAGCGAUGGAGCCACUACUACACUAUGGGGGCGUGAAGGAGAUUGCGAGGACCAAGAAGAAAAGGAGACACCGUCGAAGAAGCCGCCGCAGCAGCACUGCUCCGACACCACCGGGACUUCUUUCCUGAGCGAGAGUUCGUACCUGCACUGGAGCGAAAUUCGCCCCGCCACGCGGCCCUCCGCGCCUCCGCUGCUGAAGCCGCUUCAGCACAAGGAAAAUAGAGUACGGAGUAGCAGCGGUUGCAGAGCAGUGGCGUUCUUUGGCAACGCCGCCGUUGGCAGCACACCAUCCCCGUCCACGAGUGCAAAUGACCCACAGCAGCAGCCGCCAUCCCUUUCGGGAUCGAUGCAUCGAACCGUCGACGUUGCAAGCCGAAACACCGUCUCACGCGCCCUUAACAUCAGUGACUCAAGCGUAAAAGGUGUUCGAAACGAACGCAGUGCUUCGCACGUCGACUUUGACCUCAGCCCCGUCGCAGCUACUCAGCUUUUCAGCACAGAGACGGACACGAGUGCGUGCUUGGUGCCGCACCCGGCCGCCGCUUUCCUGCCGCGCCGCACGCAGCCAGUUCUACAGCUGGCAAGCGGCAGCACUUUUACGGCAAGCAACCUGCGAGCCAACUCGUCCUUUGAGCGCGAAAACCUUAUGGUAGGCCGGUGCGGCGGCAACGGAACAUCUACGUCAGCCGCCGUGGGCGUUGCAGGCCCAACGGGUGUCAUCCACGCAGGACGCUGCAGCACUCCGCGCCAGCACCACGGACAGCGCCCGACCGCCUUCUCGGGCCGCGCGCUUUGCUUUUCGGAAGAGACGGACCCCUUUACUCGCCGUAGCUGGGGCUCUAGUGCCGGCCAGCAGAGCUGCUUGAACUCACUCUUGACGUCCCCGGCUCCUGUGGGGCAGCGGGCCGUCGAAGAAUGCUCACCACAGCCGUCACCGAUUCGUCCCAUCGGCGUUGCCACAAGGUCGCCGUCGGGGUUGCCUGUUGCGGCAGACCGCAGCGGCUUGUUUUUGGACGACUCCGGCGUAGGUCUGGGGUGGAUCGGGAUGCCACCUACGACCUCGGCAGCGCAGGAGAGCAUCGGCGCCGGCGCCUGUGAAGCGGUUGCGGCGCUGAUGCCGGCACUGGCGCGUGAUGUAAGUAGAGGCUCAGAAGCAGGUGCAGCGGUGGCGCCAAUGCUUUACCCGGUACGCCUCCAGCCGUCGUGGAAUGCGAGCAGCACCACGGCGACCGGGAUUGUGCAGCCUUCAAACUCGCCGUGUGUACGCCGGUGUGUGCACCUCCUCGAGCCACCACCUGGCGGUUGUUCGCGCAGCCGUACCUGUUCCGCUGUAGCGCUGACGAUGGGCGUGACUACUGCCGCUGUAGCUGAGCGACCAGACGCAUCGUGCAGCAGCCAGCAACAGCAGCCAACGACCAGCCCCGCUUCCACUGGCCGCAGAGACGCGUCGAGUUCGCGUAUAAUGCCGCUGCCGAUUCCGCUCUCGGUGGCCACCGUCUGUCAGUCGGCGACGCAGUCGCUCUGCGCACCGACGCCACGAUCACGCACACCGACCAGCCGCGCGCUCCAUGAGACGCCACGCACGCAGCGCUUCUCUUGCCCUACGUCUGCGCUGCGGACGGGGUACGCUGGUCAUAAGAACGGCAACCAGCGGGGUAGCUCGCAGCCACAGGAUGCCCUCACGUCUUGUGUGGACGGUGGCGACGAUAUUCUCAGCGCCGCUCCGUUUUUGUGCAAUCAGGAUGUUAAUGCGUCCGUGACUCACCUGGCGCACAAAGUCUGCGCGAGCGUCGGCCUGACAGGAUCUGGUAGUGGCGCCGCACCGACUUUGCGCUGCGCGGCCGCGUCGCCGCUGGGCUCGCUGGUUGCGUGUACUCACUCUUCCCAGCGUCACUGCACCCCGUCGUCAAGCGACCCUGCACCGGAGAUCGCUGUGUCGAUCAACUGUGACGGCUGCAACCACCCCGCAGUGGCGAACGAGGCCUCCCCAACACCUAAUGUCACCGUUGUGCGUGCAUCGAGGGCGAUGCUUUCCACGGGAGGCCCACAUACGCCGCUGCCCGUGCAUGGCUCCGCAUCGCCUCUCUCGCAGCCUUGCGAUGCUCCCUUGCUUCAGUUGAGCUCUGCCAGCCUCGACAGCCACCGCCGGUCAGUGAAGGACCACGAGAGUGACCGCAUAGAGACGCCGCAAAGCAAACGGCGUGAGUCCAUGAAGCGAGCGCGCGAGGAGGCUAUGGACAGCGAAGACGUAGCCGCGGUGCGGCAGAGCGCGCGGGUUGUGUGACAUCCAGUGCCAUGUUCCCACCCACCUCCACACCCGCAGGGCUUCUGGAGGAUGCGUAUUGGACGACUCUGCUCCAAUGGCAGUGCUUCGAAUGGGGCUGACGGCUGACUUCCGCUCUAUGCGGAUGAGACGUCUGCCCCGACUCUCUAUCCCCUUCGCUUGUUGUGUGCUUGUAUUUGUGCUCCCCCGUACUUCAUGUGGGGAGGGCACACCGUGUCGAGCUCCCGUCGUGCUGUCUCCUUCCUUCCUUCUGUUUCAGUUUGCUCUUGCUGCGGUUUGCUUUUACUUCACCCUCUUCUCUCCCGUUAGAUGCACGCACGCAUACACGCACACAUACACACUUACAGACAGUGCAAAUUUUUUUUCGUUGUUGUUUCGAUACGCUGGCUUUCGCGGCGGCGGUUGGGUGAGGGAGGGAGGGCGGGCGCUUUGAGAGGGCGGCUCUGGCAGUGGAGCUCUUCAUCUGGCGUAUUUCCUCCGAGCGCAACGCCGACCCUACUCUGACUCUCCUCUUUCGUAUCACACUCUUUUCUCUAGACACCUGCACGCUCGUGCGUGGCUACGCAAGCGCCACUACUACUAGCGUCGCAGUAUUCAUUCACAUCUGCCAUUCCGUGUUCACGUCUCGCCGCCCUCGAUCGUUGUGUCACAUCGGCGCACACACGUGUGCACACGCACACGCACAUGCACACGCCGCAGGCCUCCAUCCUUCCUCUCCGUUCCCCUUCACCAAACAUACUGCACGCUCGUAGCCGCACGCUCUCCUCGUCCCAUGUGCUGCUCUCGCUCCCUCCGUCUCUCUCUCUCUUCGUGUGUGUGUGUGCUUGUUGUUCGCUUGUUUCCUUUCGCUCGCCCUUUACAGUACCUCCCACCCUCCCACCCUCCACUCCCCCCCCUCCACCCCCCCCUUCCCUUUUGUUUUGGAGCGGCGGUGGCGGCGGCUCGCUUUGUUCGUCUCCCCCCCCGCCCUCUUUCAUAGAUGGUGGCACACGUGCACGUUUUCGUUGCGCUUGCUUUUUUUUUUCGUGCCUCGUAGUCCUCGUCGCGCGGCCGAACUUGCUGCCCUUUUUCGUGCCACCCGGUCACAUCCCUCUCCUCCUCCUUUGCCUUACCGUGACCCCCCCCCACACACACACCCUUCCUCUCCCUCCUCUCCGUGUAUCCUCCUAUUGCGUUCUCCCUGCAUCACCGCCUGGUGCUGCUGUGGUCCAUGUGUGCUUCGCUGACACACACACACACACAUACAUAUAUAUAUAUAUGUAUACCACACGUACACACAGAGAGGCAGGCAGCUGCGAACGCCACAGUACAUAAACGGCGGGUAUGUACUUGUGUGUGAGUGUGUGUGUCGGUCACCCACCGGUUGUUCAGUUCUUCGGUAAAGUUCUCCGUCUUUCUACCUCUUGUAAUGUACGCCUCAAAAGGAGAGGAAACUCCCACCCAUACACUCCAUCCUUUACGUUAUCGGUCGCAUGUAACGAAUCUACGAGCGCAGGCGCGUUCCUUAGGGGGCUUUCUAUACUUGUCUACCCUCCCUCCUUCUGCCUCCCACUGGCCCAUCAUCCCUCCGUUCCCUUGGUGCCGCUUCCCCCUCCCCUCACCCGACUCUCCCUGAGCGAAUGUGCCCCCCCC